RNAcentral lists this ribosomal RNA (2340 nucleotides) under human gut metagenome. Its description in RNAcentral is "bacterial LSU rRNA". It matches the Rfam family "Bacterial large subunit ribosomal RNA", at positions 3 to 2366 of the family's 2925-position model. The record is from RNAcentral.
UUAAGUAAGGAAGGGCGUACGGCGAAUGCCUUGCCACUCGAAACUGAAGAAGGACGCGCCAAACUGCGAAAAGCUCCGUGAAGCUGUAAGGAAGCGAAGAAGCGGAGGUGUCCGAAUGGGGGAACCCGGCAGCAGACAUGAGCUGUCAUCUGCAGGUGAAUACAUGGCCUGCAAGAGAGGUACCCGGCGAACUGAAACAUCUAAGUAGCCGGAGGAAAAGAAAACAACAGUGAUUCCCUGAGUAGCGGCGAGCGAAAGGGGAGAAGCCCAAACCGGUUGAAGGACCGGGGUUGAAGGACCAUGACAUGGCAAGAACGAGGAUAGGAGAACGGGAUCGAAAGCCCGGCCGAAGAAGGUGAAAGCCCUGUAACCGAAAUCCGAGUAAAGCCUAAUGGGAUCCUGAGUACGGCGAGACACGAGAAAUCUUGUCGGAAGCAGGCGGGACCAUCCGCCAAGGCUAAAUAUAAACGAGUGAGCGAUAGUGAACCAGUACCGUGAGGGAAAGGUGAAAAGAACCGCGGGAGCGGAGUGAAAGAGAACCUGAAACCGUAUGCCUACAAGAAGUCAGAGCCCGUUAAGGGGUGAUGGCGUGCCUUUUGUAGAAUGAACCGGCGAGUUGCGACAGACUGCGAGGUUAAGGAGGAAAGACCGGAGCCGAAGCGAAAGCGAGUCUUAAGAGGGCGAAAGUAGGAUGUUGCAGACCCGAAACCGGGUGAUCUAGCCAUGAGCAGGUUGAAGUUGAGGUGAAACUCAAUGGAGGACCGAACCGACUACCGUUGAAAAGUUAGCGGAUGACUUGUGGCUAGGGGAGAAAUUCCAAUCGAACCCGGAGAUAGCUGGUUCUCCCCGAAAUAGCUUUAGGGCUAGCGUCGGAAAGAACCUUAGUGAAGGUAGAGCACUGAAUGUGUGAUGGCCCCAUCCCGGGGUACUGAAUACAAUCAAACUGCGAAUGUCAUUAAGGAUGUCCGGCAGUCAGACUGUGAGUGAUAAGGUCCAUGGUCAAGAGGGAAACAGCCCAGACCGCCAGUUAAGGUCCCAAAAUACAGGCUAAGUGGAAAAGGAUGUGGGGAUGCCCAGACAACUAGGAGGUUGGCUCAGAAGCAGCCAUCCUUUAAAGAGUGCGUAACAGCUCACUAGUCGAGUGACCCUGCGCCGAAAAUGUACCGGGGCUAAGCCUGAUACCGAAACUGCGGAUUGUAGGAAACUAUAGUGGUAGGGGAGCGUUGUAUACGAGCAGAAGCCGUACCGUGAGGAGCGGUGGAUUGUAUAGAAGUGAGAAUGCCGGUGUGAGUAGCGAGAUGUAGGUGAGAAUCCUACACACCGAAAGCCCAAGGAUUCCAGGGGAAGGUUCGUCCGCCCUGGGUAAGUCGGGACCUAACGCGAGGCCGAAAGGCGUAGUGGAUGGAAAGCAGGCGAAAGAUUCCUGCACCCGUAUAUGGAGCGAAGGAGUGACGGAGACGGAUAGUGUGACCCUCUUAAUGGAUUGAGGGCGAAGCGAAGCGGCUGGUUACCAGGCAAAUCCGGUAGCCAAAAGGCUAGAGCGUGACAGGUAAGCGAAAUCUUCGGAAAGUAGCGAAGCACAUGAUGACGGCUUCCAGGAAAAGCUUCUGGCAAUGCAUAUGCGGCCCGUACCAAAACCGACACAGGUGGGCAGGGAGAGAAUCCCGAGGUGAGCGAGAGAACUGUUGCCAAGGAACUCGGCAAAAUGACUCCGUAAGUUAGCGAGAAGGAGUGCUUAAGCAAUUAAGCCGCAGUGAAGAGGCCCAAGCGACUGUUUAACUAAAACACAGCUCUCUGCGAAGUCGCAAGACGAAGUAUAGGGGGUGACACCUGCCCGGUGCUGGAAGGUUAAGAGGAUCUGUUAAGAGCGAUCUGAAGCAGUGAUCCGAAGCCCCAGUGAACGGCGGCCGUAACUAUAACGGUCCUAAGGUAGCGAAAUUCCUUGUCAGGUAAGUUCUGACCCGCACGAAAGGUGUAACGAUUUGGGCGCUGUCUCGGCAGCAGACUCGGUGAAAUCUUAGUACCUGUGAAAAUGCAGGUUACCCGCAACUAGACGGAAAGACCCCAUGGAGCUUUACUGCAGCCUGAUAUUGAAUUCUGGUCAUACAUGUACAGGAUAGGUGGGAGACAAAGAGACGUGCACGCCAGUGUACGAGGAGUCGACGUUGGGAUACCACUCUUGUGUGACCGGGGUUCUAACCUGGUAUCGAGAACAGGUACGGGGAGAGUGUCAGGUGGGCAGUUUGACUGGGGCGGUCGCCUCCCAAAGAGUAACGGAGGCGCCCAAAGGUACGCUCAGAUUGGAUGGAAACCAAUCGUCGAGUGCAAUUGCAGAAGCGU